This 307-nucleotide unclassified non-coding RNA is filed under the name plant metagenome. RNAcentral describes it as "partial contains 5.8S ribosomal RNA, internal transcribed spacer 2, and large subunit ribosomal RNA". The stretch from base 1 to 105 matches the Rfam family "5.8S ribosomal RNA", at positions 50 to 154 of the family's 154-position model. The record is from RNAcentral.
GAAAUGCGAUAAGUAAUGUGAAUUGCAGAAUUCAGUGAAUCAUCGAAUCUUUGAACGCACCUUGCGCCCGCCAGCACUCUGGCGGGCAUGCCUGUUCGAGCGUCAUUUCAACCCUCAGAACCCCUUGCGGGAUCUGGCGUUGGGGAUUGGCAUCCAGCCAGCCCCGAAAUCUAGUGGCGGUCCCUCCGCGACCUCCCCUGUGCAGUAGCGAUACCUCGCAGCGGGACAGCGGUCUGACCACGCCGUAAAACCCCCAACUUCUCAAGGUUGACCUCGAAUCAGGUAGGAAUACCCGCUGAACUUAAGC